Molecule: long non-coding RNA, 205 nt
Filed under: Mytilus galloprovincialis (Mediterranean mussel)
Lineage: Eukaryota; Metazoa; Mollusca; Bivalvia; Mytilida; Mytilidae
Source: RNAcentral
AAAAUAAUUAAGAUAAAGGAAAAAGUAGAUUUAAGAUCCAGUCUAAUUGGGUUAAUUAUUUGAAUCCAUUUUUGUUAAAGGGCUGUGUCAAUUUGCUCAGCAUGAAUGGAAAAAUAUUGUCAAUAUUUGGACAUGAAUAUUGAAGUGUCAGCAGUCUGUUAAAGAUAAUCCAUCGAUUUGGUAUGUUGUCACAUAUCCCCAGGCC